RNAcentral lists this ribosomal RNA (468 nucleotides) under uncultured bacterium. RNAcentral describes it as "partial 16S ribosomal RNA". It matches the Rfam family "Bacterial small subunit ribosomal RNA", at positions 28 to 507 of the family's 1533-position model. The record is from RNAcentral.
GACGAACGCUGGCGGCGUGCUUAACACAUGCAAGUCGAACGGAAAGGCCCUGCUUUUGUGGGGUGCUCGAGUUGCGAACGGGUGAGUAACACGUGAGUAACCUGCCCUUGACUUUGGGAUAACUUCAGGAAACUGGGGCUAAUACCGGAUAGGAGCUCCUGCUGCAGGGUGGGGGUUGGAAAGUUUCGGCGGUUGGGGAUGGACUGGCCGCUUAUCAGCUUGUUGGUGGGGUAGUGGCUUACCAAGGCUUUGACGGGUAGCCGGCCUGCGAGGGUGACCGGCCACAUUGGGACUGAGAUACGGCCCAGACUCCAACGGGAGGCAGCAGUGGGGUAUAGUGCACUAUGGGAGGAAGCCUGAUGCAGCAACGCCGCGUGCGGGAUGACGGCCUUCGGGUUGUAAACCGCUUUCGCCUGUGACGAAGCGUGAGUGACGGUAAUGGGUAAAGAAGCACCGGCUAACUACGUG